Myotis brandtii (Brandt's bat) is the source of this 75-nucleotide non-coding RNA. The record is from Rfam. Lineage: Eukaryota; Metazoa; Chordata; Mammalia; Chiroptera; Vespertilionidae.
UGCAGUUCUCAGGUGAUGCACCCAGAACCAGAGAGGAGGGAGUCUGAUUCUGGGGUGCAUCACCCAAGAACUGCC